GGCCCCUUAGCUCAGUGGCGUUAGAGCAUCGCUCAUAAUCGAUUGGUCAUGUGUUCAAGUCACAUAGGGGCCACCA
This 76-nucleotide transfer RNA is filed under the name Vibrio parahaemolyticus. RNAcentral describes it as "tRNA-OTHER". It matches the Rfam family "tRNA". From Rfam's summary of the family: Transfer RNA (tRNA) molecules are approximately 80 nucleotides in length. Their secondary structure includes four short double-helical elements and three loops (D, anti-codon, and T loops). Further hydrogen bonds mediate the characteristic L-shaped molecular structure. tRNAs have two regions of fundamental functional importance: the anti-codon, which is responsible for specific mRNA codon recognition, and the 3' end, to which the tRNAs corresponding amino acid is attached (by aminoacyl-tRNA synthetases). tRNAs cope with the degeneracy of the genetic code in two manners: having more than one tRNA (with a specific anti-codon) for a particular amino acid; and 'wobble' base-pairing, i.e. permitting non-standard base-pairing at the 3rd anti-codon position. Lineage: Bacteria; Pseudomonadati; Pseudomonadota; Gammaproteobacteria; Vibrionales; Vibrionaceae. The record is from RNAcentral.